This 468-nucleotide ribosomal RNA is filed under the name uncultured bacterium. RNAcentral's name for it is "partial 16S ribosomal RNA". It matches the Rfam family "Bacterial small subunit ribosomal RNA", at positions 28 to 507 of the family's 1533-position model. The record is from RNAcentral.
GACGAACGCUGGCGGCGUGCUUAACACAUGCAAGUCGAACGGAAAGGCCCUGCUUUUGUGGGGUGCCCGAGUGGCGAACGGGUGAGUAACACGUGAGUAACCUGCCCUUGACUUUGGGAUAACUUCAGGAAACUGGGGCUAAUACCGGAUAGGAGCUCCUGCUGCAUGGUGGGGGUUGGAAAGUUUCGGCGGUUGGGGAUGGACUCGCGGCUUAUCAGCUUGUUGGUGGGGUAGUGGCUUACCAAGGCUUUGACGGGUAGCCGGCCUGAGAGGGUGACCGGCCACAUUGGGACUGAGAUACGGCCCAGACUCCUACGGGAGGCAGCAGUGGGGAAUAUUGCACAAUGGGCGGAAGCCUGAUGCAGCAACGCCGCGUGCGGGAUGACGGCCUUCGGGUUGUAAACCGCUUUCGCCUGUGACGAAGCGUGAGUGACGGUAAUGGGUAAAGAAGCACCGGCUAACCACGUG